Molecule: ribosomal RNA, 465 nt
Filed under: uncultured Klebsiella sp.
Lineage: Bacteria; Pseudomonadati; Pseudomonadota; Gammaproteobacteria; Enterobacterales; Enterobacteriaceae
Description: bacterial SSU rRNA
Rfam family: Bacterial small subunit ribosomal RNA
Source: RNAcentral
CCUACGGGCGGCUGCAGUGGGGAAUAUUGCACAGUGGGCGCAAGCCUGAUGCAGCCAUGCCGCGUGUGUGAAGAAGGCCUUCGGGUUGUAAAGCACUUUCAGCGGGGAGGAAGGCGUUAAGGUUAAUAACCUUGUCGAUUGACGUUACCCGCAGAAGAAGCACCGGCUAACUCCGUGCCAGCAGCCGCGGUAAUACGGAGGGUGCAAGCGUUAAUCGGAAUUACUGGGCGUAAAGCGCACGCAGGCGGUCUGUCAAGUCGGAUGUGAAAUCCCCGGGCUCAACCUGGGAACUGCAUUCGAAACUGGCAGGCUAGAGUCUUGUAGAGGGGGGUAGAAUUCCAGGUGUAGCGGUGAAAUGCGUAGAGAUCUGGAGGAAUACCGGUGGCGAAGGCGGCCCCCUGGACAAAGACUGACGCUCAGGUGCGAAAGCGUGGGGAGCAAACAGGAUUAGAUACCCGAGUAGUC